Molecule: long non-coding RNA, 296 nt
Organism: Trichosurus vulpecula (common brushtail)
Lineage: Eukaryota; Metazoa; Chordata; Mammalia; Diprotodontia; Phalangeridae
Exons: 3
Source: RefSeq, a predicted model, not a curated record
UUCAGGUCUUCCCGACUCCAACUCCAGAGUUCUGUGCACCGAGCUACCCAGCUGCUCUAAGGAGGAUCAUAGGAUUUAGAGAUAGGCCAAGAAGACUAUAGAAAAGCUGACCUCUAUCUUCAAAUGCCUAGAGAGGGGAAAGCCAGAGCUUUCCACUUGGGCUGCUAUAAGGAAGAGAGGAGUAAUUUCCCCUCCCUGGGAGCUCUCCAAGGUAUUUCGAAUGAACAAACAAACGAACAAACAGACACACGAACAUCAAGCUCAAAAUUGCUUUUGCAUUGAUUUGGAAACAGUAA